Molecule: ribosomal RNA, 563 nt
Filed under: Papiliotrema laurentii
Lineage: Eukaryota; Fungi; Basidiomycota; Tremellomycetes; Tremellales; Rhynchogastremaceae
Description: LSU rRNA
Rfam family: Eukaryotic large subunit ribosomal RNA
Source: RNAcentral
AAAGAAACUAACAAGGAUUCCCCUAGUAACGGCGAGUGAACCGGGAAGAGCUCAAAUUUGAAAUCUGGCGUCCUCAGGGCGUCCGAGUUGUAAUCUAUAGAGGCGUUUUCCGUGCCGGACCGUGUCCAAGUUCCUUGGAACAGGAUAUCAAAGAGGGUGACAAUCCCGUACUUGACACGACGACCGGUGCUCUGUGAUACGUCUUCUACGAGUCGAGUUGUUUGGGAAUGCAGCUCAAAAUGGGUGGUGAGUUCCAUCUAAAGCUAAAUAUUGGCGAGAGACCGAUAGCGAACAAGUACCGUGAGGGAAAGAUGAAAAGCACUUUGGAAAGAGAGUUAAACAGUACGUGAAAUUGUUGAAAGGGAAACGAUUGAAGUCAGUCGUGACCGAGAGGCUCAGCCGGUUCUGCCGGUGUAUUCCCCUCGGUCGGGUCAACAUCAGUUUUGUCCGGUGGAUAAGGGCGGUAGGAAGGUGGCACCCUCGGGUGUGUUAUAGCCUGCCGUCGCAUACAUCGGGUGAGACUGAGGAACGCAGCUCGCCUUUAUGGCCGGGGUUCGCCCACG